UCUCCGUAGGUGAACCUGCGGAGGGAUCAUUAACACGUUUAUAACAAACGUUUUAUCAACCAAAACCUUGAACAUAUAAAACACAACUCCCUUCACAUAUAGUGACGUACGCACACCCAUCAGGGUGGAGUGGGGGGAAUAUUAAUAUUAAUAUUAAUUAUCCCCGCAUCUAUGGCUCGUCUAGGGUUCAUCGAGACCCAAUCCUAUGUGAAGUGUAUUUGCGACCGCCUGGUAGUUUGACUACCAUUUCAGAUCUAACCCGAUCUUGAUCUAACGUAGCUUUCUGCCGAAUUUUUCUUUUAACACAUUUUUUAACCCCGUUAAAAACAUAAAAUAUAACUGAGCCAUUUGCUCAAAACAUAAGCUAUUAGUUUAGUUCGAUGAAUGAAAAAAGAUAUACGUAAUGCUGAACAACUCUUAGCAAUGGAUAUCUUGGUUCUG
Molecule: unclassified non-coding RNA, 441 nt
Filed under: plant metagenome
Description: partial contains small subunit ribosomal RNA, internal transcribed spacer 1, and 5.8S ribosomal RNA
Source: RNAcentral